GACGAACGCUGGCGGCGUGCUUAACACAUGCAAGUUGAACGGAGCACAUUAAGUAGCAAUACGAGGUGUGCUUAGUAGCGGACGGGUGAGUAACGCGUGAGUAACCUACCUUUGUGAGGGGGACAACAGCUGGAAACGGCUGCUAAUACCGCAUAAGACCACGACCUCGAGUGGGGUUGAGGUAAAAGAUUUAUUGCACAAAGAUGGACUCGCGUCCCAUUAGCUAGUUGGUGAGGUAACGGCCCACCAAGGCGACGAUGGGUAGCCGACCUGAGAGGGUGAUCGGCCACACUGGAACUGAGACACGGUCCAGACUCCUACGGGAGGCAGCAGUGGGGAGUAUUGGGCAAUGGGCGAAAGCCUGACCCAGCAACGCCGCGUGAGGGAAGAAGGUCUUCGGAUUGUAAACCUCUGUCCUUGGGGACGAAAAAAUGACGGUACCCAAGGAGGAAGCCCCGGCUAACUACGUG
This 470-nucleotide ribosomal RNA is filed under the name uncultured Christensenellaceae bacterium. Its description in RNAcentral is "bacterial SSU rRNA". It matches the Rfam family "Bacterial small subunit ribosomal RNA", at positions 28 to 507 of the family's 1533-position model. Lineage: Bacteria; Bacillati; Bacillota; Clostridia; Christensenellales; Christensenellaceae. The record is from RNAcentral.